This 971-nucleotide ribosomal RNA is filed under the name Bacillus sp. (in: firmicutes). RNAcentral's name for it is "bacterial SSU rRNA". It matches the Rfam family "Bacterial small subunit ribosomal RNA", at positions 1 to 940 of the family's 1533-position model. The record is from RNAcentral. Lineage: Bacteria; Bacillati; Bacillota; Bacilli; Caryophanales; Bacillaceae.
UCCGAUCAGACGAGUGCGUAGAGUUGAUCUGGCUCAGGACGAACGCUGGCGGCGUGCCUAAUACAUGCAAGUCGAGCGACACCAAAAGGGAGCUUGCUCCCCUGAGGUUAGCGGCGGACGGGUGAGUAACACGUGGGGCAACCUGCCUGUAAGACUGGGAUAACUCCGGGAAACCGGGGCUAAUACCGGAUAAUUCAUUUCCUCUCAUGAGGAAAUGCUGAAAGACGGUUUCGGGCUGUCACUUACAGAUGGGCCCGCGGCGCCUUAGCUAGUUGGUGAGGUAACGGCUCACCAAGGCCACGAUGCGUAGCCGACCUGAGAGGGUGAUCGGCCACACUGGGACUGAGACACGGCCCAGACUCCUACGGGAGGCAGCCGUAGGGAAUCUUCCGCAAUGGACGAAAGUCUGACGGAGCAACGCCGCGUGAGCGAAGAAGGCCUUCGGGUCGUAAAGCUCUGUUGUUAGGGAAGAACAAGUAUCGGAGUAACUGCCGGUACCUUGACGGUACCUAACCAGAAAGCCACGGCUAACUACGUGCCAGCAGCCGCGGUAAUACGUAGGUGGCAAGCGUUGUCCGGAAUUAUUGGGCGUAAAGCGCGCGCAGGCGGUCCUUUAAGUCUGAUGUGAAAGCCCCCGGCUCAACCGUGGAGGGUCAUUGGAAACUGGGGGACUUGAGUGCAGAAGAGGAGAGUGGAAUUCCACGUGUAGCGGUGAAAUGCGUAGAGAUGUGGAGGAACACCAGUGGCGAAGGCGACUCUCUGGUCUGUAACUGACGCUGAGGCGCGAAAGCGUGGGGAGCGAACAGGAUUAGAUACCCUGGUAGUCCCCGCCGUAAAGGAUGAGUGCUAAGUGUUAGAGGGUUUCCGCCCUUUAGUGCUGCAGCAAACGCAUUAAGCACUCCGCCUGGGGGAGUACGGCCGCAAGGCUGAAACUUCAAAAAAAAUUUGACGGCUGAAGACUGGCCGAGGGC